Molecule: unclassified non-coding RNA, 309 nt
Filed under: Pholiota adiposa
Lineage: Eukaryota; Fungi; Basidiomycota; Agaricomycetes; Agaricales; Strophariaceae
Description: partial internal transcribed spacer region
Rfam family: Eukaryotic small subunit ribosomal RNA (bases 1-46)
Source: RNAcentral
AAGUCGUAACAAGGUUUCCGUAGGUGAACCUGCGGAAGGAUCAUUAUUGAAUGGACUUGGUAUGAUUGUUGCUGGCCCAUCUGGGCAUGUGCACGUCUGCCAUCUUUAUCUCUCCACCUGUGCACAUAUUGUAGGUCUGGAAUAAAUUUCUGAGGCAACUCAGUAGUGGGGAAUGCUGCUGCGAAGUGGCUUUGCCUGUAAUUUCAGAUCUAUGUUUUCAUAUACACCAUAAAAAUGUAACAGAAUGUAUUAAUGGGUCUUGUACCUAUAAACUAUAUACAACUUUCAGCAACGGAUCUCUUGGCUCUC